RNAcentral lists this ribosomal RNA (253 nucleotides) under uncultured bacterium. RNAcentral's name for it is "partial 16S ribosomal RNA". It matches the Rfam family "Bacterial small subunit ribosomal RNA", at positions 524 to 776 of the family's 1533-position model. The record is from RNAcentral.
UACGGGGGGGGCAAGCGUUGUUCGGAAUUACUGGGCGUAAAGGGCUCGUAGGCGGCCAACUAAGUCGGACGUGAAAUCCCCAGGCUCAACCUGGGAACUGCGUCCGAUACUGGAUGGCUUGAAUCCGGGAGAGGGAUGCAGAAUUCCAGGUGUAGCGGUGAAAUGCGUAGAUAUCUGGAGGAAUACCGGUGGCGAAGGCGGCAUCCUGGACCGAGAUUGACGCUGAUGAGCGAAAGCUAGGGGAGCAAACGGG